GUGGGGAAUAUUGGACAAUGGGCGAAAGCCUGAUCCAGCCAUGCCGCGUGUGUGAAGAAGGUCUUCGGAUUGUAAAGCACUUUAAGUUGGGAGGAAGGGCAGUAAGUUAAUACCUUGCUGUUUUGACGUUACCGACAGAAUAAGCACCGGCUAACUUCGUGCCAGCAGCCGCGGUAAUACGAAGGGUGCAAGCGUUAAUCGGAAUUACUGGGCGUAAAGCGCGCGUAGGUGGUUUUGUAAGUUGGAGGUGAAAUCCCCGGGCUCAACCUGGGAACUGCCUCCAAAACUGCAUGACUAGAGUACGGUAGAAGGUAGUGGAAUUUUCUGUGUAGCGUUGAAAUGCGUAGAUAUAGGAAGGAACACCAGUGGAGAAGGCGACUACCUGGACUUAUACUGACACUGAGGUGCGAAAGCGUGGAGAGCAAACAGGAUUAGAUACCCUGGUAGUCC
RNAcentral lists this ribosomal RNA (450 nucleotides) under uncultured bacterium. RNAcentral describes it as "partial 16S ribosomal RNA". It matches the Rfam family "Bacterial small subunit ribosomal RNA", at positions 354 to 796 of the family's 1533-position model. The record is from RNAcentral.